CGGGUUUGUGCCGCGCGCCGACUCACCGAGCCGCCCGCCGAGUCCGCGUCUACACCCCCAUCCGACCCGAUUGGAUUUUUGGCGUCUGUCUAUACAGAGGUGGAGGGGAACAAUUCACCGUCUUGAUUUCCAAAACAAACAAGCCCGGACAGGGGUGCUGGGCCCCGUGGAAACGACUCAACCCUGUUUUCCGUCACUUGCACCUGGCUCCCGGGUUGCCCUGGCCCUGCAAGCCGGGGUCCACGAAAAUGCGAUUUUAACAACUUUUAAAACAAGACCGAGGAGACGAAAGUGCCUGCGACCCAGGAAGUUCAUGAUGCGGCUCGCUUGACCCAUUCCGCAUCGGGGAGACGCUGGGCCGGGGUCUGGUAUGGGGUUCGCAUGAGCGACCGCCCCUUAGCGCUGGCGGCUCCUUUGUGGGGGGGGGGGGGUCGAGUCGGGAACCUCGGUGGGGUGCGCGCCCCACCUGCCGGGCACCGACGGGACUGCAGUCAGGGGCGGGGCCGGCGCCUGAGGCCGCCAGGUGGCGCCGUGUCCCCUGAAAACGACUUUCCCGGGUCAGAUGGGGAAACUGAGGCCCGCGGAGUUAUUUUCUCCCCUUUGGCUCCUUCUGAACGUUCUACGGUAGAAUUGCCAGAUAAAUACCGGAUUCGCGGUUAAAUUUUAAGUGUAUCCUAAGUUUUGCACAGGACCUACUUACACUAAAAAGUUUUUCAUUGUUUAUCGGAAAUUGAAAUUAGCCCCUUUCCCUACCCCAGACCCCCAGGGUUUAUCCCCCAUCAGGUGGCCCUGAGGCCCAUCCCACCCGCUCUCUCGGAUGGGCUGUGCUGGCAUAUGCCUGGUCCUGGCAGCUCAAAAGGCAAGGCCCGUGGUAGUAAUGAAAUAGUAAACUGGAAAAGUCUCCACCUACCUUGGACCGUGUCCCUCCCUGCUUAGGAGCCUCCAUGGUUCCCAUCACCCUCAGGAAAGAUCCGGCUUAUCCCUGCAGCUGGCAAUCUUCCCACUGCACUCUCCUCUGGCCCCGCAGGCCUUCUAGCUGUUUCUCACCAGAUGUUUCCUGCCCCAGGGCCUUUGCACUGUCUGUGCUCCCCAUCUGUUGUGCUCUUCCCCCACCUCCGAGCUGCGUUCACAUUUCCCAGACUUGCCUGCUCCAGGAAGCCUUCCCGGACUCACCCCCACCAAGGUCAGGCUCCCAGUGACCCACGAGGGGCACACAUGUCUUUCUCAUGACCCUUUCUGCUGCUCUAACUCUGCAUCUCUCCAGGUAGUCUGCCCCUUCCGUCCGAGGCCAGGCAGGGACUGUGUACAGGAAGCCCCUCCUCACUGCCGUGGCCCGACCCCCAGCGCAGAGCCUGGCACACGGGAGGGGCUCCGAAAACGAGGUCCAGCUAAAUGGGCCCCAAACGACUCCUCUUCCUAGACCUCCCUUUCAGCCCUUCAACGUUGUGUGUUUUCCUGAGAUAAUCGUGAAUCCUGACGCAGAACUUGGCCGGGCUUCCCCCGACAGUGACAUUUUGUAACACUGCACUACGGUAUCACAACCAGGAUUUUGACCCUGAUGCGAUCCGCCCACCUUCUUUGGAUUUCCCCGUUUUAUGGGACAGGAGUGUGCCAUCACGAGGGUCCCUCCUGCCCCCUGCCCACCUCGCUCACCGCCCCUACUGCCCUCACCCCGGCAACCACCGGUCUCUUCUCCAUCCCCAUAACGCUCUCUCCUCCAGGUGCUGUUAGAACCACACGUGUCGUGUAACCUUGGGGGUUGCCUGAUUUUCCCCGCAUGAUUCUGGGAGAUGCGUCCGAGGGGCCGCGUGUCUGCCGCGCGCCCACAACUGUCUGCUGCUGAGUUGUGUCCCAUGGUGUGGGUGGGCGAGUGUGCUUGCCCACACGCGUGUCGUGGACGCCCAAGGUACCGCGUGUCGGCUGCCGCAGGUGAGCUAAGUGUGCGGGUUUUCUGUCCCGGAGCUUUUAUUUCUCUGACGUGAAUACCCCAGAGCCCCCUUCACCUUCUUUUAAAAAAAAAAAAAAAACCGUUUUUCCUGCAGAAACUGUGCCACUCCCUCUGCACACACUUUCUCUCUUAACCCCCACAACAAACACACUUGGUCAUUCAUCCCGCAAAUAUCUAAUCAGCCCGACCGUGCGCUGGGCGCUGGGCAUUCGUGGGGGACCACGUGAGACAGGCAGCCAGCAGGUACAACACAGGGACAUCAGAACCGUGAUGGGGGCAGCGCUGGGCGCAGAGAGCUCCAGGA
This is a long non-coding RNA of Lynx canadensis (Canada lynx), 2252 nucleotides long. RefSeq lists it as uncharacterized. Lineage: Eukaryota; Metazoa; Chordata; Mammalia; Carnivora; Felidae. The transcript has 3 exons. The record is from RefSeq and is a predicted model, not a curated record.